This 255-nucleotide transfer-messenger RNA is filed under the name Treponema sp. Its description in RNAcentral is "partial transfer-messenger RNA". It matches the Rfam family "transfer-messenger RNA", at positions 101 to 374 of the family's 374-position model. Rfam says of the family: Bacterial tmRNA, also known as 10Sa RNA or SsrA, is named for its dual tRNA and mRNA-like properties. Its role is to liberate the mRNA from a stalled ribosome. Lineage: Bacteria; Pseudomonadati; Spirochaetota; Spirochaetia; Treponematales; Treponemataceae. The record is from RNAcentral.
UGACAGUUACGCUCUCGCUGCGUAAGCAGUAGAACGCGGGACCCGGCUCCGCCGCCUUGAGGGGCCGGCUUCCCGUCGCAAUCAAGGCUGGUCAAACCGCGGUUCCGGACGCGGCGCGAUGAGACGCUCCCGGAAUACGGAAGGACCGCGUGCCGUGCAGCCAAGUCCGUCCCGACAAAAAAAUGCGCGGCUAAACCUGUAGACGUUUGCGUUUCGCGUAUUAGGACGCGGGUCCGACUCCCGCCACCUCCACUA